This 2007-nucleotide long non-coding RNA is filed under the name Phoenix dactylifera (date palm). Its description in RNAcentral is "long non-coding RNA (PDAC_LNC009614)". The record is from RNAcentral. Lineage: Eukaryota; Viridiplantae; Streptophyta; Magnoliopsida; Arecales; Arecaceae.
GACCCCAUAGGUUCUAUUCUGUCUGGUAGUGGAUAUAUUAUGAUCUCUAUCAUAAUAUCAUUGAAACUCCUUUCAAUGGAUUCAAACAAUUCCAACUCUUCUCAUUCGGGUUUACUGAUCAUCAAGUGAAUACCUUUGAGUCUCACAAUCCACUAGUGACACCUAGCAGCAUGUAGUGGCUACUCAACAGAUUGGAAUUGAUGAACCUCUAGGUGCAGUUAGCGUAUGAUACAAUCUCUAUAUCGUGGAUCACGACAGGAUGGAGGUUAUGGAUAACUCGUCAAACCCCAUCAUCUGUCAUAUAUCAAAAUUUAUUCAACUCUAGUUCGAGAUUGGAAAACUCUUUUUUCAAAAAACUACCUUGGCCAAGGAUUUAUGAACUCAGUCUCAUAAAUCACAUAGGAUCUCUUCUAAUCUAUCAAGGUCGAUAGAUUUCAUCUAGAUGCACCUCCUAUUCCUACAAUAAAUCUAUUGCAACCAAUCUGCACCAUGUUUAUGUGCUCGGCAAACUGUAGCAACCUCACUGUGAAUAGCUGAGGCAUCACAGGUCAAAGGACCAGUCAUACAACGGCAGCAUCAAAUAAGUCAUCGACGAGUUGAUAGACAUCCAAGUGACUACUUGCUAUGGUCACGCUCAGUACUCUUGUUCUCCAAGAAGCACUUGCACAAUUACUCCAGUGUCCCCACACCGUAGACUCAAGACUCGUCCAUCAAAGAAAGUAGUCUGUGUACUAAUCUCAGUGAAUCGAUCAUCGUCCUCGUGAUGAUCCAUCGAUCAGAAAUAAUUCAAAAAUUAGUCACCAAUGAUACAUGCCUCAAAUUCUCAAUUCUUGACCAUAUGCAUCAUCAUCUUAUUAAUUUCUUGGAUGAUUCAUGGACACAUAAGAACAUGAAUAAAAAUAAUGCCCAAAUUAAUAAAUUCAUAAUUAGAUCAAGUACAAAUUUAUGUCCCAAAACAAAAUAAUGCAUCUGCCAAAUUGGCUUUUAGGGCAUACUUCUAAUAGAUCACUAUUAGAAUAAGUUUUUUCAAGGCUUUUUAAGCCAUUAAUGAUAUCAGUGAAUCUUGUGAACAUGCAUGUGAUGGUUUCAGAUGGUUUCAUUUUAAACAGUUUAUAUUUAUGUAUACGCAUGUUGAUUUUAGAUUCUUUCAUUUGGUUGGCACCCUCAUGGGUAACCUCAAGUCUAUCGCAUAUUUUCUUUGCAGAAAUACAAAUGGAAACCUGAUCGGUUCUUUCAAUUUCAACAAUAAACCACGUAAUAGCACGUAUCCUGUAAGAUAGUGAUUACGAGUGUCGGUCCACAGGGAUUGGAGACAAGUUAUUUUUUCUAAUUAAAUAAUUACUUCAAAGGGCAUAAGCUAGAGUAAAUGAUAAAAACUAAGAAUUAAUGUGGAUGUAGUAGUAUGAAUUAUCUAUGGAGAGAGGUGUUUAGGGCUAGAAUCCACCGAUGGAUUCGUCUGUGUGAUGUUUUCAAUGACUUAGAUGCGUGUAUGAUCUGAUGGCUCUUAACUACAAGUUAAAGCAAUCAUACAAAAAGUUGAAAUCUAACCUACAGUAUGAGUCAUCUAAGCCUGGUACAAACCAUCUUCUCUAAGGAUAGGCAUGAUCUGCCCUAUUUAGCAUGAUUCAUCUGAUGAUUAAUUUUUCAAAGAUAAAUCUUGUAGUUGCAUAACAAUCUCUUCCAAACCACAGGUAUUGGAUUCGAUUUCGAUAAACUAGAUUAAUUCAUGCAAAGGCUUUCUACAAGAUAAACAUCUUACACAAAUUAAACAAGACAUUUCAAGAUCAUAAUUUCAUUAAAUAUGCAACUAUCUUACAAUGCUAAAAAUUAAAGAAAUGCAACAACAUAAAUACUCAUCCACGGCUUCAUCAAACCCCUAAACCAGGGUUCAGCCACUCAUGAUGCUCGGCGACUUUGAUCGGCUUGCUGAGAUGCUCCACGCCAUCCGGCUCAAGUCCUUCCCCCUUUUUCUUUCACUACUUGAUCCGCUCCUAGCCUCCCUCUAUU